Long non-coding RNA from Silurus meridionalis, 1167 nucleotides. RefSeq lists it as uncharacterized. The transcript is spliced from 10 exons. The record is from RefSeq and is a predicted model, not a curated record. Lineage: Eukaryota; Metazoa; Chordata; Actinopteri; Siluriformes; Siluridae.
GCCAAUACAAACCAGCAUAGGUAAAAAAUUCAAACCAGCACAAAGUCGAUUCAGAAUGUAGCAGAAUGGUCUGAUGUCAUCUAGUCAGCUGAGGCUGAUUAUGCUCAUUUACCUGCCUAUAAAGUCGUUUCGGUUUGUGUUAUGGGUGCGUUUGCUCUUUGUCCGCGAGCGAGCCGCCGUACUUCCGGGUUUACGUGCGGAUAGUGGCAAGGGUGGACUGAGGAGCUUUGUGGGGAAGCCGCUAAGCGUUUAGGAAGACGUGUUUAAUAAACGUCUGCAUCCGUGCCUCGUGAGUCGCCGUACAGGCAUACAAGAUGCAUGGGGAGGCAACAAGUCACAUGUGCUCCUGUCAAAAAUAGGACCAUAUAAACUUUUUUUGGGACAUUGCCAGAACUGCUCCCAAUCAAGAGCUCGAGAGUGAGGUGAUCAAUGCAUACAUGGCCCACACUGUAAAAACCCACAAUCAGAUACGAGAAAAAAAAGCACUUCACAUCGAUUCAUUCGAAAUGACACGUAUAUGGGAGGGAAGGGGCUCAAGAUUAAAGUGUGAUCCAACAAAAUACAAUAUUAUUUUGGGAGCUGGACAUUGGCUGCAAUCUUUCCAUCUGAAAGAAGAAGCCUUAUAUUGGAUCCCCUGGGAAAUGAUUCGAAAAAACUUCAACAGUGUUUGCAGUCCACAAGGGCCUUCAUCAGAAAACAAGGCUGCCAUGUAUCCAGGUGGGCAUCCAGCACAGAUGCACACUGUUGUCAGAAAGAUGGCACCUCAUGUGGGAUAUUUGUCCUGAAAUAUGCAGAGAAACUACUGUCAGAGGAGCUUCUGACAUUUGCUAACAACACUGAAGCAGUAAAUCUGUAUCGAAGACAGAUUGCAAUGACCCUGCUAAAUGAGACUGAUGACCUAACUGAGCUGUGCCACAACUGUGGGGAGAAGAGCAAUGGGCAAAAGAAGACAGUGAGGAAAAAAUGAACAACCCCUAUCAUCUACUUGGAUUCAGUGUGACGUGUGUGACCGGUGGUUUCAUAUGCAGUGUGUUCAGGAGCCCGAUCCCUUCAAGUCCUACAGCUGUGCGGCGUGCACAUUUUAAAAUUCUCCUUCCUUUCCCUGUUAUUAUUUGCUAUUAAUAUUUUGGUAUUCAAGUUACCAUUAAAACAAAUAAGUUGUAAAAA